GACGAACGCUGGCGGCGUGCCUAAUACAUGCAAGUAGAACGCACAGUUUAUACCGUAGCUUGCUACACCAUAGACUGUGAGUUGCGAACGGGUGAGUAACGCGUAGGUAACCUGCCUGGUAGCGGGGGAUAACUAUUGGAAACGAUAGCUAAUACCGCAUAAUAUUGAUUAUUGCAUGAUAAUUGAUUGAAAGAUGCUAUUGCAUCACUACCAGAUGGACCUGCGUUGUAUUAGCUAGUAGGUGAGGUAACGGCUCACCUAGGCGACGAUACAUAGCCGACCGGAGAGGAUGAUCAGCCACACUGAGACUGAGACACGGCCCAGACGCCUACGGGAGGCAGCAGUAGGGAAUCUUCGGCAAUGGACGAAAGUCUGACCGAGCAACGCCGCGUGAGUGAAGAAGGUUUUCGGAUCGUAAAGCUCUGUUGUAAGAGAAGAACGGGUGUGAGAGUGGAAAGUUCACACUGUGACGGUAUCUUACCAGAAAGGGACGGCUAACUACGUG
Molecule: ribosomal RNA, 505 nt
Filed under: uncultured bacterium
Lineage: Bacteria
Description: partial 16S ribosomal RNA
Rfam family: Bacterial small subunit ribosomal RNA
Source: RNAcentral